Megalobrama amblycephala (Wuchang bream) is the source of this 484-nucleotide long non-coding RNA. RefSeq lists it as uncharacterized. Lineage: Eukaryota; Metazoa; Chordata; Actinopteri; Cypriniformes; Xenocyprididae. The transcript has 3 exons. The record is from RefSeq and is a predicted model, not a curated record.
UGCUGGGACACUGUACUCCUCAUAGGUGUCGGAGAGCAGCACCAUGGCACCUCCAUCUUCCGCCGAGACACCUACAAUGGUGACCACCUCCUCGACAGUUUGAGCUUCAGCCUUCUGAAAUUUGUAUAGCUCGAGGAAUUAAAUUUGGCAGCAGGUCUGAGUGUUGCCUUGAGAUGGGAAAUCUCAACCUGAUCUCCCAAACUCAUCUCAAGCAGGGCCUCAUCACGCCAGAGGGAGACCUCGAAGCACUUCUGGCCACACCUCAGAGACAGGUCUCUGAUGGGGACCUCCCCGUCGGUCACCCGUGUCAUCCUGAUUACCUGCAACUACAUUAUCACAAUGGGAGAUGAAUCCUCCCCUUGUGAACAGGUUGUCCUCUUCCCCUGUCACGAGGGCUGUUGGAGGACUGAGGAGAUCUUCCGCCUUUUUCUCUGCUGCCUCUGGCACGGUGAAAGGUGCUGUUUUAAAUUUCUUUGCACCAGGG